GUCCACGCCGUAAACGAUGGGUACUAGGUGUAGGGGGUAUCAACUCCCCCUGUGCCGUCGUUAACACAAUAAGUACCCCGCCUGGGGAGUACGGUCGCAAGAUUAAAACUCAAAGGAAUUGACGGGGCCCGCACAAGCAGCGGAGCAUGUGGUUUAAUUCGAGGCAACGCGAAGAACCUUACCUAGACUUGACAUCUCCUGAAUUACCCUUAACCGGGGAAGCCCUUCGGGGCAGGAAGACAGGUGGUGCAUGGUUGUCGU
Molecule: ribosomal RNA, 261 nt
Filed under: uncultured bacterium
Lineage: Bacteria
Description: partial 16S ribosomal RNA
Rfam family: Bacterial small subunit ribosomal RNA
Source: RNAcentral